This 488-nucleotide ribosomal RNA is filed under the name uncultured Oscillospiraceae bacterium. RNAcentral's name for it is "bacterial SSU rRNA". It matches the Rfam family "Bacterial small subunit ribosomal RNA", at positions 1 to 507 of the family's 1533-position model. Lineage: Bacteria; Bacillati; Bacillota; Clostridia; Eubacteriales; Oscillospiraceae. The record is from RNAcentral.
AGGAGUUUGAUCCUGGCUCAGGAGAACGCUGGCGGCGCGCCUAACACAUGCAAGUCGAACGGAGAGUGAAGAGCUUGCUUUUCACUUUUAGUGGCGGACGGGUGAGUAACACGUGAGCAAUCUGCCUCUGUGAGGGGGAUAACGUCUGGAAACGGAACGCUAAUACCGCAUAACAUAUAGUGGCCGCAUGGCCGGUAUAUCAAAGAUUUAUCGCACAGAGAUGAGCUCGCGGCUGAUUAGCUAGUUGGCGGGGUAACGGCCCACCAAGGCGACGAUCAGUAGCCGGACUGAGAGGUUGAACGGCCACAUUGGGACUGAGACACGGCCCAGACUCCUACGGGAGGCAGCAGUGGGGGAUAUUGCACAAUGGGGGAAACCCUGAUGCAGCGACGCCGCGUGAGGGAAGACGGCCUUCGGGUUGUAAACCUCUGUCGCAGGGGACGAAGGAAGUGACGGUACCCUGUGAGGAAGCCACGGCUAACUACGUG